AUUGAACGCUGGCGGCAGGCCUAACACAUGCAAGUCGAGCGGAUGAAGGGAGCUUGCUCCUGGAUUCAGCGGCGGACGGGUGAGUAAUGCCUAGGAAUCUGCCUGGUAGUGGGGGAUAACGUCCGGAAACGGGCGCUAAUACCGCAUACGUCCUGAGGGAGAAAGUGGGGGAUCUUCAGACCUCACGCUAUCAGAUGAGCCUAGGUCGGAUUAGCUAGUUGGUGGGGUAAAGGCCUACCAAGGCGACGAUCCGUAACUGGUCUGAGAGGAUGAUCAGUCACACUGGAACUGAGACACGGUCCAGACUCCUACGGGAGGCAGCAGUGGGGAAUAUUGGACAAUGGGCGAAAGCCUGAUCCAGCCAUGCCGCGUGUGUGAAGAAGGUCUUCGGAUUGUAAAGCACUUUAAGUUGGGAGGAAGGGCAGUAAGUUAAUACCUUGCUGUUUUGACGUUACCAACAGAAUAAGCACCGACUAACUUCGUG
This 484-nucleotide ribosomal RNA is filed under the name uncultured bacterium. RNAcentral describes it as "partial 16S ribosomal RNA". It matches the Rfam family "Bacterial small subunit ribosomal RNA", at positions 30 to 507 of the family's 1533-position model. The record is from RNAcentral.